UACUACUCACUCCCUACUAUUAAUUGAUAGCUGCUUGUUAUACCGAUAGCUACCUGUUUCUUGACUGUUUAAAGUUACCGCUUCACUAGUUAUGCCGAACAGGACCAUAGUGUGACUACUGACUAGCACGUUAUGUUACUCUGUACUCCGUAAUUGAAUUGUGGUUGCAUAAACAAGCAUUUUUUGUACCAAAUGUCCAAAGUAAACCACUAGUUCGACAGUUCUCAUCAAAGGCGGCAAAUCAGCAACAAAAGAGGAAUUAGGGUUUAUAGAAGGUGUAAUGUCGACGAAUCCUUCAAAUUCCAAGUUCUUGAUUCCUCUCCAUUUCUACAUUGCAAUGUUCAUCUUUUCAAAGAUAUGAUUGAUCUGCUGUUGGUGGCACAACAUGACAACAAGUGCAUUCUAUGCAUUUAAUUAUGGUGGUGCAGUUCCAGCCUUGGCUCAACUUGGGUUUUUAUCAUAUAAUGUCGGUCUUCAUCAUAUAAUGCCACGAGUUGUUUUCAUCACAUUCU
Molecule: long non-coding RNA, 512 nt
Organism: Chenopodium quinoa (quinoa)
Lineage: Eukaryota; Viridiplantae; Streptophyta; Magnoliopsida; Caryophyllales; Amaranthaceae
Exons: 3
Source: RefSeq, a predicted model, not a curated record